Molecule: ribosomal RNA, 511 nt
Filed under: Dolichopus atripes
Lineage: Eukaryota; Metazoa; Arthropoda; Insecta; Diptera; Dolichopodidae
Description: partial 16S ribosomal RNA
Rfam family: Bacterial large subunit ribosomal RNA
Source: RNAcentral
GUCUUUUUGAGUUUAAUUUAAAGUCUAAUCUGCCCACUGAUAAAUUAUUUAAGGGCCGCAGUAUUCUGACUGUGCAAAGGUAGCAUAAUCAUUAGUCUUUUAAUUGAGGGCUUGUAUGAAUGAUUGGACGAGAUAUAAGCUGUCUCACAAAAAUUUAAAUAGAAUUUUAUUUUUUAGUCAAAAAGCUAAAAUAAAUUUAAAAGACGAGAAGACCCUAUAGAUCUUUAUAAUUUAUUUUUAAAUUUUUUAAGGUUAUUUUUUGAAUUUAUAAAUUAAAUUAUUUUGUUGGGGUGACAAUGAAACUUAAUAAACUUUCAUUAUUUUGAAACAUUAAUUUAUGAUUAAUUGAUCCACUAUUAGUGAUUAAAAAUUUAAGUUACCUUAGGGAUAACAGCGUAAUUAUUUUGGAGAGUUCUUAUCGAUAAAAUAGUUUGCGACCUCGAUGUUGGAUUAAGAUUAAUUCUGGGUGUAGCAGUUCAGUUUAUUAAGUCUGUUCGACUUUUAAUUUCUU